CUUUGGGAUAACCCUCGGAAACGGGGGCUAAUACCGGAUAUUACCUUGUACCGCAUGGUGUGGGGUGGAAAGUUUUUCGGCCUGGGAUGGGCUCGCGGCCUAUCAGCUUGUUGGUGGGGUGAUGGCCUACCAAGGCGACGACGGGUAGCCGGCCUGAGAGGGCGACCGGCCACACUGGGACUGAGACACGGCCCAGACUCCUACGGGAGGCAGCAGUGGGGAAUAUUGCACAAUGGGCGGAAGCCUGAUGCAGCGACGCCGCGUGAGGGAUGAUGGCCUUCGGGUUGUAAACCUCUUUCAGCAGGGACGAAGCGCAAGUGACGGUACCUGCAGAAGAAGCGCCGGCCAACUACGUGCCAGCAGCCGCGGUAAGACGUAGGGCGCGAGCGUUGUCCGGAUUUAUUGGGCGUAAAGAGCUCGUAGGCGGCUUGUCGCGUCGACCGUGAAAACUUGGGGCUCAACCCCAAGCCUGCGGUCGAUACGGGCAGGCUAGAGUUCGGUAGGGGAGACUGGAAUUCCUGGUGUAGCGGUGAAAUGCGCAGAUAUCAGGAGGAACACCGGUGGCGAAGGCGGGUCUCUGGGCCGAUACUGACGCUGAGGAGCGAAAGCGUGGGGAGCGAACAGGAUUAGAUACCCUGGUAGUCCACGCUGUAAACGUUGGGCGC
This 665-nucleotide ribosomal RNA is filed under the name uncultured Micromonosporaceae bacterium. RNAcentral's name for it is "bacterial SSU rRNA". It matches the Rfam family "Bacterial small subunit ribosomal RNA", at positions 136 to 816 of the family's 1533-position model. The record is from RNAcentral. Lineage: Bacteria; Bacillati; Actinomycetota; Actinomycetes; Micromonosporales; Micromonosporaceae.